This 697-nucleotide ribosomal RNA is filed under the name Serratia marcescens. Its description in RNAcentral is "partial 23S ribosomal RNA". It matches the Rfam family "Bacterial large subunit ribosomal RNA", at positions 380 to 1081 of the family's 2925-position model. The record is from RNAcentral. Lineage: Bacteria; Pseudomonadati; Pseudomonadota; Gammaproteobacteria; Enterobacterales; Yersiniaceae.
CUAAAAUGCACAGGUCGUGAGUUCGAUGAGUAGGGCGGGACACGUGACAUCCUGUCUGAAUAUGGGGGGACCAUCCUCCAAGGCUAAAUACUCCUGACUGACCGAUAGUGAACCAGUACCGUGAGGGAAAGGCGAAAAGAACCCCGGCGAGGGGAGUGAAAUAGAACCUGAAACCGUGUACGUACAAGCAGUGGGAGCACCUUCGUGGUGUGACUGCGUACCUUUUGUAUAAUGGGUCAGCGACUUAUAUUUUGUAGCAAGGUUAACCGUAUAGGGGAGCCGUAGGGAAACCGAGUCUUAACUGGGCGAUUAGUUGCAAGGUAUAGACCCGAAACCCGGUGAUCUAGCCAUGGGCAGGUUGAAGGUUGGGUAACACUAACUGGAGGACCGAACCGACUAAUGUUGAAAAAUUAGCGGAUGACUUGUGGCUGGGGGUGAAAGGCCAAUCAAACCGGGAGAUAGCUGGUUCUCCCCGAAAGCUAUUUAGGUAGCGCCUCGUGAACUCAUCUUCGGGGGUAGAGCACUGUUUCGGCUAGGGGGCCAUCCCGGCUUACCAAACCGAUGCAAACUCCGAAUACCGAAGAAUGUUAUCACGGGAGACACACGGCGGGUGCUAACGUCCGUCGUGAAGAGGGAAACAACCCAGACCGCCAGCUAAGGUCCCAAAGUCAUGGUUAAGUGGGAAACGAUGUGGGAA